GUGAACGCUGGCGGUAGGCCAACACAUGCAAGUCGACCGGCAGCACAGUAAGAGCUUGCUCUUACGGGUGGCGAGUGGCGGACGGGUGAGGAAUACAUCGGAAUCUACUUUUUCGUGGGGGAUAACGUAGGGAAACUUACGCUAAUACCGCAUACGACCUACGGGUGAAAGCAGGGGAUCUUCGGACCUUGCGCGAUUGAAUGAGCCGAUGUCGGAUUAGCUAGUUGGCGGGGUAAAGGCCCACCAAGGCGACGAUCUGUAGCUGGUCUGAGAGGAUGAUCAGCCACACUGGAACUGAGACACGGUCCAGACUCCUACGGGAGGCAGCAGUGGGGAAUAUUGGACAAUGGGCGCAAGCCUGAUCCAGCCAUACCGCGUGGGUGAAGAAGGCCUUCGGGUUGUAAAGCCCUUUUGUUGGGAAAGAAAAGCAGCAGGUUAAUACCCCGCUGUUCUGACGGUACCCAAAGAAUAAGCACCGGCUAACUUCGUG
This 490-nucleotide ribosomal RNA is filed under the name uncultured bacterium. RNAcentral describes it as "partial 16S ribosomal RNA". It matches the Rfam family "Bacterial small subunit ribosomal RNA", at positions 29 to 507 of the family's 1533-position model. The record is from RNAcentral.